UACCAGCUCUCCGAGUGGUAGGGAUGAUUAUUGGGCUUAAAGCGUCCGUAGCCGGCUUAGCAAGUCUCCUGUUAAACUCAGCGACCUAAUCGUUGAAUCGCGGGAGAUACUACUAGGCUAGGAGGCGGGAGAGGUCGACGGUACUUCUGGGGUAGGGGUGAAAUCCUAUAAUCCCAGGAGGACCACCAGUGGCGAAGGCUGUCGACUAGAACGCGCUCGACGGUGAGGGACGAAAGCUGGGGUAGCGAACCGGAUUAGAUACCCGGGUAGUCCCAGCUGUAAACGAUGCGGGCUAGGUGUUGGGAUGGCUACGUGCCAUUUCAGUGCCGCAGGGAAGCCAUUAAGCCCGCCGCCUGGGGAGUACGGCCGCAAGGCUGAAACUUAAAGGAAUUGGGCGGGGGAGCGACCACAAGGCGUGAAGCUUGCGGUUC
Molecule: ribosomal RNA, 431 nt
Filed under: uncultured archaeon
Lineage: Archaea
Description: bacterial SSU rRNA
Rfam family: Archaeal small subunit ribosomal RNA
Source: RNAcentral